RNAcentral lists this long non-coding RNA (688 nucleotides) under Capsicum annuum. RNAcentral describes it as "long non-coding RNA (CANN_LNC005931)". Lineage: Eukaryota; Viridiplantae; Streptophyta; Magnoliopsida; Solanales; Solanaceae. The record is from RNAcentral.
UUUUUUCUUUAAGUGGGUGGGGUGGGGUGGGGUGGGGUGGGUGGGGGGGUUCAUGUUCAAAGAUCGAUCUGACAAUUGCUUAAGGUAGUUGCUUAAUUUGCUGGCGCAAAUUUCUCUGUCGCCUAUCUCAUGUCAUGCUUCUUUUUUCUCUGAAUUAAUUCCUAGUGUCCGUCAAUCAAAGAUUCGUCAUCAAGAAAAGGAAGAGCCUUGACUUUGGGUAGGUUGGUCUCGUCAUUUAUGCAAUUUUCCCGUCCAUUGAUUGAUCAUGCUAGUACGCAUUCAGUCAGCCAUAGCGAAUGACAAAAAUGUUCAUCCUGAAUUCUCUUCCUUAAGAAAAUUGUCUAUCAAUUGAUCCCUACGAUUAUAGUCUCCACUUUUAACACUCUACUAAGAAAUGCACUCUUGUUGAUAGAAAUCGGCAAGGACCUCAUACACGCCCUCGAGGGCAACGUUCAUGACAAUCAUCACUAUGACUUUGUAGCCUUUUUGGAGAUCCGAUUAAUUCGGACUUGUGUUGAAAAAUUUUACUUUCUUAAAGACGAUUUUAUCCUCAAGACUUGAAUAGGAGAUCCGAUUAAUUCGGACUUGUGUUGAAAAUUUUUACUUUUUUAAAGACGAUUUUAUCCUCAAGACUUGAAUUCAUGAUAUCUCGUGAAAAGUCAAUCAAGCUGACACAAUUAAAAUGACA